GACAGAGGAUGCAAGCGUUAUCCGGAAUGAUUGGGCGUAAAGCGUCUGUAGGCGGCUUUUUAAGUCUGCCGUCAAAUCCCAGGGCUUAACCCUGGACAGGCGGUGGAAACUACCAAGCUGGAGUACGGUAGGGGCAGAGGGAAUUUCCGGUGGAGCGGUGAAAUGCGUAGAGAUCGGAAAGAACACCAACGGCGAAGGCACUCUGCUGGGCCGACACUGACACUGAGAGACGAAAGCUAGGGGAGCAAAUGGG
RNAcentral lists this ribosomal RNA (253 nucleotides) under uncultured bacterium. RNAcentral describes it as "partial 16S ribosomal RNA". It matches the Rfam family "Bacterial small subunit ribosomal RNA", at positions 524 to 776 of the family's 1533-position model. The record is from RNAcentral.